Molecule: long non-coding RNA, 2516 nt
Organism: Myotis myotis
Lineage: Eukaryota; Metazoa; Chordata; Mammalia; Chiroptera; Vespertilionidae
Exons: 2
Source: RefSeq, a predicted model, not a curated record
GGACCCCGGCCCCUUCUCGGCGUGGCGUGCCCCGCGCUCACCUUCCUGCCUGCGCUGCAUGCCGCUCCUGACCCCGCGCCUGCAUUUGUCUCGCAGUUGGGGUUGCACUCGGAGGAGAGGUGCCCCUUUCCCCCUCCCAAGGGGCUGUUUCUCCCCGCGCUUAAGCCAUGCUAACAGGCAGUAAGCGUCCUGUCUUUGGGCAGGUCCAACAGAUUCUUGAAGGUGGUCCCCCCCCCCCCCCCCCAAAGGAUCAUUGACGAUGGAGGCUAUUUCGUGCAGCAGACGGUAGUUUAGAAAUGGAGAGAGAAAAUCCGCAGCAUCUUUGCCAGUUGUCAGAUGGUGGAAACACAACAAAGGAACGGGCUUUUGAAACUUAUUUGGGGAAAGGUUGGUAAGAAGCCAAAAAUAUUCCAGGAUCUGACUUGGGUACUUGAUCCCCUACUUCAAGUAUUCUCGGCUCAAAAGUUAUUAAGGGCAUCAAGACGAUGACUUUUACGAGCUUUGAGUUUUGGUGCCAUGGAAAGAAUCCCCCCCUGGGGUAGGAGGUAGUGAAAACAUUUGUGGCCGGAUUUAAAAGAACAACAGCCUACAGUGUCUGUCAAGGUAUUCUGAGGCGAUUGAGAAGAUUUCAGCUUUACCUAAAAUAAGAAGAAAGCCACGCGUCCUCAGUUUUGUUUCUGAUGUGCUGGUUCUCCAUGGUUUUCCUCUUUUAUCCUUUUCUGGUUCAGCAUUCUGCUUUUCCUCAGUUGUACAAGUGAAUUGCUCUUAACAUCCCUUUUGUUUCAGGCCAGAUUUGUAGCACUUUUGUAGGUAGCAAAUAUAAUGUAAAUUUCCAGUGAGUUUUGCAAGGAAAAAACUGCCACUUAGCUCCUUGGCGAAUGGUCCUUCAAAUUUAUUAGCUGGUCUUGAUAGUUUUAAAAAGGAAAUAUUUUGGAAGCGAACAGAGAACCCAAAUGUGUGUCGUUACACUUGCUUUUUCUAUCUCAUUCUCAACUGAAAUCAUGGCCUUACUCAUUUUUUGGUAAAGAAUUUUGAUGUAAGUAUUCUUUCUUAAAGAUGUAGGUAUAAGGUAGUUUAGUACAUUUCAGAAACUAAAACUUGCCUCAUAGAUUUUUUUUGGAUGUGAUAGUUAGUUGUUGAUUGGUUAGGAAAAUAUUAAGUUGUUCUACUAACUUCAUUUGUUUCGUAAAAAAUAGUUUUUCAUUCCUAGUUACAGGUGUGUCUAAGUUAAGCUCCUUGCGUGCCUUCAAGAGUUUGUGGCUUCAGUCUCCCUGAAUCUGGAGUCCAGUCAGAGCUCGCUGCCUGUCACCCUGGCCCUCUGACCUUGGUCUGCUCACUUGACCUCUUCAAUCUGCUUUUCCAUCAGAGAGGUGUCCUCACCUGUGAAAUGAACAGCAGCGAGUCUGGCUGCAGAGAUGAGAUGAGGUGCUGGUGUGAAAGCUGAAAGCCCCCCCCCCCCAGAUAACUACCUUUAUGUGAGAUGCUAAAACUUGAGUGGUUGGUCAUAUUUCUCACAGUCGGGUAAUUAGGGGAAGUUUGCUAUCACUUGCAUAGUUGGGUGUGACUUGCAAAAAGGUUUCCUGGAUUAGCCUUGAAUCAAGUCCUUGGUGCUUCUGUUUUUAGUUCCUGACCCCAGUGUGUGGCUUGGAGCAGCAAUCCACUUUUCAUUAGUAAAAUGGGAAUUUGUUAGAAUUUGUGCUGCUUGUAACUUACAUAUUUUCCUACGAUAGCAAGCAAAUGUUUCUUUAAAUAAAUAAUAAAGCUAAGCUAUAUAUAAUGGUGUCUUUUAGGAGAGGAGUAGGAAGUGUAUCUCCUUUUCUUCACAGAACUCAGCCAGCAUCUGGCCUUUAGCCCCUCUUGACUGUGCUUGAGCUGGGGCUACCGGGAUCCUUUGGAUCCACUUCACUUCUCCACACCCAGGCCUCAGGACAUCCCCUCCUUAUGCCUCAGGGCAAGCUCUGCUCCCUGGGCCUCCAUUCACAGCCAGAAAAGAAGGUCAUGUGACAACAUGCUGCUAACCUUUGAAAACCAUUCUUAGAGUAGCAUUUGUCUUACGGAAUAUGGAAAUCUCCACUUGGGGUGGUGAGCAUGGAUCAUUAAGGAAAUGAACAGUGUGGAAGGUCCUUGAAUUCUGUCCUUGUUAAAAUGGUGGUGAGAUGCCCUAGGAGCCUGACUCUUGUAUAUAUCAAUAAGAUUAUGGUAAAAUUUCACUUAAAGUCACAAAAUGUAUCAACGAUGCUAAGUGAGAACUUCCUGUACUGGCAUUUUUCUUGUAUUUCUCUUCAGAAAAAUAUAAUUCCUGUUACGCUUAAGAAAUAAUCACAGUCUAGUCAUUGGAGGCCCCUUUGGUUGAUUACUUACUGCUCUUGCCGUUUCAGUCGUUGAGAACUUUGCAGUGAGAUCGGAGAACACUGGUGAGAGGGAAGUCCUCCUUGUUUUGCUUCUGUCCACACAACUAUGUUUUCUUUAUAAAAACUCUUGUCAACUUCAAUGAAAAAUAAAUUUUUCUAGUAUAA